RNAcentral lists this ribosomal RNA (508 nucleotides) under uncultured bacterium. RNAcentral's name for it is "partial 16S ribosomal RNA". It matches the Rfam family "Bacterial small subunit ribosomal RNA", at positions 30 to 523 of the family's 1533-position model. The record is from RNAcentral.
AUUGAACGCUCGCGGCAGGCCUAACACAUGCAAGUCGAGCGGCAGCGGGAAAGUAGCUUGCUACUUUUGCCGGCGAGCGGCGGAUGGGUGAGUAAUGCCUGGGAAAUUGCCCAGCCGAGUGGGAUAACAGUUGGAAACGACUGCUAAUACCGCAUACGCCCUACGGGGGGAAGAAGGGGACCUUCGGGCUUUGCGCGAUUGGAUAUGCCCAGGUGGGAUUAGCUAGUUGGUGAGGUAAUGGCUCACCAAGGCGACGAUCCCUAGCUGGUCUGGGAGGAGGAUCAGCCACACUGGAACUGAGACACGGUCCAGACUCCUACGGGAGGCAGCAGUGGGGAAUAUUGCACAAUGGAGGAAACCCUGAUGCAGCCAUGCCGCGUGUGUGAAGAAGGCCUUCGGGUUGUAAAGCACUUUCAACGAGGAGGAAAGGUUGAUGCCUAAUACGUAUCAACUGUGACGUUACUCGCAGAAGAAGCACCGGCUAACUCCGUGCCAGCCGCCGCCGUAA